Molecule: long non-coding RNA, 958 nt
Organism: Osmerus eperlanus (European smelt)
Lineage: Eukaryota; Metazoa; Chordata; Actinopteri; Osmeriformes; Osmeridae
Exons: 2
Source: RefSeq, a predicted model, not a curated record
GGAGGGCCCUAAGACGUCCUGGACCCGGGAGAUAACCAAUGACGGUGAUCUCAUUCUGACCAUGAGCGCAGACGAUGUGGUCUGCACCCGGGUCUACGUCCGGGAGUAACCAGAAGCAGGAGCUUCUCUUCCUUCCAUCCCUCUCUCCUUCUCCUCCUCCUCCACCACUCCAUCCCUCUCUCCUUCUCCUCCUCCUCCACCACUCCAUCCCUCUCUCCUUCUCCUCCUCCUCCACCACUCCAUCCCUCUCUCCUUCUCCUCCUCCUCCACCACUCCAUCCCUCUCUCCUUCUCCUCCUCCACCACUCCAUCCCUCUCUCCUUCUCCUCCUCCUCCACCACUCCAUCCCUCUCUCCUUCUCCUCCUCCAUCACUCCAUCCCUCUCUCCUUCUCCUCCCCCACCUCUCACUCCACUCCAAGGAGGUUCUCAGAGAAGGCAACAUGUAGAAUUUAGUUCUUUGAUCUCAGUCAGAUACAGAACUAUGUAAUCCUCUAAUCUUCACAGUAUCUAGUCUGUCACAUUUUUCAAAUCGAGAAUUUAGUCACCUAUCAGUCAGUCUGUCUGACACUCCCAGUUACUUGGUGUUGUUUAUUGUGUGUGUGUCUUGGUGAUAAUUUUCAGUUUGUAGGUGUGUGUGUGUGAGUGUGUGUGUUCAUGAAGUUGGCCUGCCUGGUGUGUGUGUGUGUGUGUGUCAGUAUGUAGCUAUAUGUUUAGUUCAGUAAACCAAUCUGUGAGUACUUCCAGUUUCAGGUCAGUUUGAAUUUUUCUGUUUUACUUCUUUCACUGUUUGGGCACCCCUUUUUCUAUUUCUCUCUAAAGUUUUAUAUUUAUUAUUACAGUAGACCCUGACACCACAGCGCUAUGUUUUUACUUCCUGUCUCUUUUCUUAUUUUAUAAAAUGUGAUCAUAGGGAAUAACGUUUUCUAUGGGGUGACAAUAAAGCACGUUAUGGACUCCA